RNAcentral lists this ribosomal RNA (465 nucleotides) under Vreelandella stevensii. RNAcentral's name for it is "partial 16S ribosomal RNA". It matches the Rfam family "Bacterial small subunit ribosomal RNA", at positions 338 to 795 of the family's 1533-position model. The record is from RNAcentral. Lineage: Bacteria; Pseudomonadati; Pseudomonadota; Gammaproteobacteria; Oceanospirillales; Halomonadaceae.
CCUACGGGUGGCAGCAGUGGGGAAUAUUGGACAAUGGGGGCAACCCUGAUCCAGCCAUGCCGCGUGUGUGAAGAAGGCCCUCGGGUUGUAAAGCACUUUCAGUGAGGAAGAACGCCUGGUGGUUAAUACCCAUCAGGAAAGACAUCACUCACAGAAGAAGCACCGGCUAACUCCGUGCCAGCAGUCGCGGUAAUACGGAGGGUGCGAGCGUUAAUCGGAAUUACUGGGCGUAAAGCGCGCGUAGGUGGCUUGAUAAGCCGGUUGUGAAAGCCCCGGGCUCAACCUGGGAACGGCAUCCGGAACUGUCAAGCUAGAGUGCAGGAGAGGAAGGUAGAAUUCCCGGUGUAGCGGUGAAAUGCGUAGAGAUCGGGAGGAAUAACAGUGGCGAAGGCGGCCUUCUGGACUGACACUGACACUGAGGUGCGAAAGCGUGGGUAGCAAACAGGAUUAGAUACCCUGGUAGUC